This 252-nucleotide long non-coding RNA is filed under the name Elaeis guineensis (African oil palm). RNAcentral describes it as "long non-coding RNA (EGUI_LNC009554)". Lineage: Eukaryota; Viridiplantae; Streptophyta; Magnoliopsida; Arecales; Arecaceae. The record is from RNAcentral.
CCCUCAGCUCACUUAUUUACCGAUCUGAAUCGACCAGAACUAAUCCUUUACAGAAUGUGAUCAAUUCGAUUAUUUGCUGGUUGUUUGCUAAUCUAUAAUAUGGGAUAUCGUACGAAUACCGACGUUAUUGAUAUGAUUCUAAAAUACACAGACGGUUACCUUAUAGCUGUUGGCCAACUCAACCAAGGCUGUCUUCCAGUUAUGUUAUAGCUAUACUUCAUGUGGGUAAAUAACCCAUGAUCUGCAUACAGC